AUUGAACGCUGGCGGCAUGCCUUACACAUGCAAGUCGAACGGCAGCACGGGUGCUUGCCCCUGGUGGCGAGUGGCGCACGGGUGAGAAAUACAUCGGAACAAGUCCUUUAGUGGGGGGUAGCCCGGCGAAAGACGGAUAAAUACCGCAUCCGAUCUACGGCAGAAGGCGGGGGCCCUACGGGCCUCGCGCUUUAGGGUCGGCCCUUGACUGAUUAGCUAGUUGGUGGGGUAAAGGCCUACCAAGGCGACGAUCAGUAGCUGGUCUGAGAGGACGACCAGCCACACUGGGACUGAGACACGGCCCAGACUCCUACGGGAGGCAGCAGUGGGGAAUUUUGGACAAUGGGCGAAAGCCUGAUCCAGCAAUGCCGCGUGUGUGAAGAAGGCCUUCGGGUUGUAAAGCACUUUUGUCCGGAAAGAAAUCCUUGGCCCUAAUACGGUCGGGGGAUGACGGUACCGGAAGAAUAAGCACCGGCUAACUACGUG
This 486-nucleotide ribosomal RNA is filed under the name uncultured bacterium. RNAcentral's name for it is "partial 16S ribosomal RNA". It matches the Rfam family "Bacterial small subunit ribosomal RNA", at positions 30 to 507 of the family's 1533-position model. The record is from RNAcentral.